Pelobates cultripes (western spadefoot toad) is the source of this 506-nucleotide non-coding RNA. Lineage: Eukaryota; Metazoa; Chordata; Amphibia; Anura; Pelobatidae. The record is from the annotation of a GenBank genome assembly.
CCCCAGUAAAAGGCAGUUUUGACCCACACAUUUACAUAGAUGCCAUUGGGGUGCCUAGGGGGGUACCUAAUGAAUUUAAAGCUAGAGAUGAAGUAGCUGUAGGUUUUGAAUCACUUUUUACCAUAGUCACUGCCAACAAAAACCUUAAUUGGAUUAAUUCUAUCUAUUACAACCAACAGCGCUUCGUGAACUACACCAGGGAUGCCCUCCAGGGCUUGGCCGAGCAAUUACAGGCCACAUCCCAAAUGACCUUCCAGAACAGACUGGCCUUAGACAUGAUCUUAGCCGAAAAAGGGGGGGUCUGUAAAAUACUUCCCGACACUAUGACUUGUUGCACUUACAUUCCAGAAAACACAGGUCCUAAUGGUAAAGUCACUCUGGCCAUAGCUAAAUUAAACAGACUCUCAGAAGAGUUAAAGAGACACUCUGGAGUUACUGAUCCCUGGGAAAAAUGGUUUGGUUGGAUGACUGGUUGGCAGAGAGCUUUAGUCCAGAUUGGUAUUGCC